Molecule: ribosomal RNA, 253 nt
Filed under: uncultured bacterium
Lineage: Bacteria
Description: partial 16S ribosomal RNA
Rfam family: Bacterial small subunit ribosomal RNA
Source: RNAcentral
UACGAAGGGGGCUAGCGUUGCUCGGAAUUACUGGGCGUAAAGCGCACGUAGGCGGCUUUCUAAGUCGGGGGUGAAAUCCUGGAGCUCAACUCCAGAACUGCCUUCGAUACUGGAGAGCUCGAGUCCGGGAGAGGUGAGAGGAACUGCGAGUGUAGAGGUGAAAUUCGUAGAUAUUCGCAAGAACACCAGUGGCGAAGGCGGCUCACUGGCCCGGUACUGACGCUGAGGCGCGAAAGCUAGGGGAGCAAACGGG